This 253-nucleotide ribosomal RNA is filed under the name uncultured bacterium. RNAcentral's name for it is "partial 16S ribosomal RNA". It matches the Rfam family "Bacterial small subunit ribosomal RNA", at positions 524 to 776 of the family's 1533-position model. The record is from RNAcentral.
UACGUAGGGUGCGAGCGUUGUCCGGAAUUAUUGGGCGUAAAGAGCUUGUAGGCGGUUUGUCGCGUCUGCCGUGAAAAUCCGGGGCUCAACCCCGGACUUGCGGUGGGUACGGGCAGACUAGAGUGUGGUAGGGGAGACUGGAAUUCCUGGUGUAGCGGUGAAAUGCGCAGAUAUCAGGAAGAACACCGGUGGCGAAGGCGGCCCGCUGGGCAGUGGCUGACGCUGAGGCGCGACAGCGUGGGGAGCAAACAGG